This 432-nucleotide unclassified non-coding RNA is filed under the name Hevea brasiliensis (rubber tree). The record is from RNAcentral. Lineage: Eukaryota; Viridiplantae; Streptophyta; Magnoliopsida; Malpighiales; Euphorbiaceae.
UUAGGCUUGGCUUGAGCUCAAUUCGAGCUUCAAUAUCUGAGCUCGAGCUUGGCUUGUCUUAAACUCAUUUGUAAUAUAAACAAGACUAGUUAAAGCUUAUCUCGUUCAAAUGUAAACUAGUUAAGUUGGAGCUUAGCUCAUUUAAAUGUAAAUGAGCUAAGCUUAGUCUAGGCUCGUUAACGAGCCAAGCUCAAACUCAUUAAGACACUAAAUUAAAAUUUGAAAUUUCAAAUACUAAAUAAUUCAUUUGGUCCUAAUAUGUAACCCACUUGGUGAUAUAAACCAAGAGAAGCGACUAUGGCAGAAAUGCGAUUCUCCUUUUAUAGAGAAGCUAGGCCCUCCCUAGUUCAUCAUUGUUUGAUGUGGGACUAGGAAUUUUAAUUUUUGUACUAUAUGUGCUAAGUGUUAGAGUUUUUAGAAAGAAAGAAGAAA